Molecule: ribosomal RNA, 311 nt
Filed under: Mantidactylus melanopleura
Lineage: Eukaryota; Metazoa; Chordata; Amphibia; Anura; Mantellidae
Description: partial 16S ribosomal RNA
Rfam family: Bacterial large subunit ribosomal RNA
Source: RNAcentral
CUCUUAUAGCCCCACAACCCCCCCNAGGCGCCGUGUGCUUGGUUUUAGGUUGGGGCGACCGCGGAGUACAAUAAAACCUCCACAAUGAAUGGGAACACCCCCUUAUCUGAGGGCCACACCCCCUAAGAAUUAGAACACUAACAUAAAAUGAUCCAUUACUUGAUCAAUGAACCAAGUUACCCUGGGGAUAACAGCGCAAUCCAUUUCAAGAGCCCCUAUCGACAAAUGGGUUUACGACCUCGAUGUUGGAUCAGGGUACCCCAGUGGUGCAGCAGCUACUAACGGUUCGUUUGUUCAACGAUUAAAACCCU